This 745-nucleotide long non-coding RNA is filed under the name Numida meleagris (helmeted guineafowl). Its description in RNAcentral is "lncRNA (ENSNMEG00000013669.1)". The record is from RNAcentral. Lineage: Eukaryota; Metazoa; Chordata; Aves; Galliformes; Numididae.
GACUAUAAACAGAUCUUUAUUUUCAGUUUUCAGACUGCAAGUGUGUUUGCCAAGAACACUGCAAAUUCAGCAGAACAUACAUCUGAAGAAAGUGUUUCUUCAGUGGAGGUUCUGCAGAAUAGGAACUGACUGUGGUCUGUGGAGCUGUCAUAGGCUGGAAAUCAACUGCAAUGCAGGAGGCAGCCAGAAGGAGCUGGUGAAAAUGUUAUUGCCAAGUCCACCUUGGAGAAGGUGGAAAAGCUCAAGAGACAAAGAUGCAGAAUAAAAGGCAGAUUUAAAGGAUGAAUGUGUUUCUCUCUUUGCGCAAGAUCCAACCAGCUUCUUCCAAGAGAAAACUGACAACAUGUUAAGUAACUUUCCUCUUUUUGCUUGCCCUCCCACUCCUUGCUACAGAUGCUAAUAUGGUAUCCUAAUCCAAUUUCAUGCCCCACUGAUCUAAAUCCUCCACCUGAUCUCUCUUAUCUUUUCUAAACCUUUCUCUUUCCCUUGUUUCCCCCUUUUCCCAUUAAGCAUGCAUAAAAGCACUAUAAUCUCUUUGAUGUUUUUAUACUUAAAAACUACCUCAGUUCAGUAGUUCCAGUUACCAGCUCUUCUUCUUUUCUAAACUCAUUAAAAAUAUUGUAUAAAGUGCUCACCAUAAAUUUCAUGCUAAAUCCUUCAGAUCCACUGAUGUCUCUUAACUCCACCAAAGCCACUCUUACCUAGUACCAGGAUUCUAAAUAAAUGCCAGACCAGAACUCCUUCA